RNAcentral lists this small RNA (1150 nucleotides) under Penicillium chrysogenum. RNAcentral describes it as "eukaryotic LSU rRNA". The stretch from base 451 to 1150 matches the Rfam family "Eukaryotic large subunit ribosomal RNA", at positions 1 to 694 of the family's 3401-position model. The record is from RNAcentral. Lineage: Eukaryota; Fungi; Ascomycota; Eurotiomycetes; Eurotiales; Aspergillaceae.
CUUGUUGCUUCGGCGGGCCCGCCUUAACUGGCCGCCGGGGGGCUUACGCCCCCGGGCCCGCGCCCGCCGAAGACACCCUCGAACUCUGUCUGAAGAUUGUAGUCUGAGUGAAAAUAUAAAUUAUUUAAAACUUUCAACAACGGAUCUCUUGGUUCCGGCAUCGAUGAAGAACGCAGCGAAAUGCGAUACGUAAUGUGAAUUGCAAAUUCAGUGAAUCAUCGAGUCUUUGAACGCACAUUGCGCCCCCUGGUAUUCCGGGGGGCAUGCCUGUCCGAGCGUCAUUGCUGCCCUCAAGCACGGCUUGUGUGUUGGGCCCCGUCCUCCGAUCCCGGGGGACGGGCCCGAAAGGCAGCGGCGGCACCGCGUCCGGUCCUCGAGCGUAUGGGGCUUUGUCACCCGCUCUGUAGGCCCGGCCGGCGCUUGCCGAUCAACCCAAAUUUUUAUCCAGGUUGACCUCGGAUCAGGUAGGGAUACCCGCUGAACUUAAGCAUAUCAAUAAGCGGAGGAAAAGAAACCAACAGGGAUUGCCCCAGUAACGGCGAGUGAAGCGGCAAGAGCUCAAAUUUGAAAGCUGGCUCCUUCGGGGUCCGCAUUGUAAUUUGUAGAGGAUGCUUCGGGAGCGGUCCCCAUCUAAGUGCCCUGGAACGGGACGUCAUAGAGGGUGAGAAUCCCGUAUGGGAUGGGGUGUCCGCGCCCGUGUGAAGCUCCUUCGACGAGUCGAGUUGUUUGGGAAUGCAGCUCUAAAUGGGUGGUAAAUUUCAUCUAAAGCUAAAUAUUGGCCGGAGACCGAUAGCGCACAAGUAGAGUGAUCGAAAGAUGAAAAGCACUUUGAAAAGAGAGUUAAAAAGCACGUGAAAUUGUUGAAAGGGAAGCGCUUGCGACCAGACUCGCUCGCGGGGUUCAGCCGGCAUUCUUGCCCGGGGAAGUAUGCCAGUGUACUUCCCCCGCGGGCGGGGCCAGCGUCGGUUUUGGGCGGUCGGGCAAAGGCCCUCGGAAGGUAACGCCCCUAGGGGCGUCUUAUAACCGAAGGGUGCAAUGCCACCUGGCUAAAAACUAAGAGACGAGCGUUCCGGUUCCGAACCCUGGGAAUAAUGGGGGAAAAACGACCCGCUUCUGGAAACACGCGGAAUAGGGCAGCAGGCCAAGUUUU